GAUGAACGCUGGCGGCGUGCCUAAUACAUGCAAGUCGAGCGAACAGACGAGGAGCUUGCUCCUCUGACGUUAGCGGCGGACGGGUGAGUAACACGUGGAUAACCUACCUAUAAGACUGGGAUAACUUCGGGAAACCGGAGCUAAUACCGGAUAAUAUAUUGAACCGCAUGGUUCAAUAGUGAAAGACGGUUUUGCUGUCACUUAUAGAUGGAUCCGCGCCGCAUUAGCUAGUUGGUAAGGUAACGGCUUACCAAGGCAACGAUGCGUAGCCGACCUGAGAGGGUGAUCGGCCCCCCUGGAACUGAGACACGGUCCAACCUCCCACGGGGGGCAGCAGUAGGGAAUCUUCCGAAAGGGGCGAAAGCCUGACGGAGCCACGCCGCGUGGGGGAUGAAGGUUUUCGGAUCGUAAAACUCUGUUAUUAGGGAAAAAAAAAUGUGUAAGUAACUAUGCCCGUCUUGGCGGUACCUAAUCAAAAAGCCCCGGCUAACUACGU
Molecule: ribosomal RNA, 496 nt
Filed under: uncultured bacterium
Lineage: Bacteria
Description: partial 16S ribosomal RNA
Rfam family: Bacterial small subunit ribosomal RNA
Source: RNAcentral